GCAUAUCAAUAAGCGGAGGAAAAGAAACCAACAGGGAUUGCCCCAGUAACGGCGAGUGAAGCGGCAACAGCUCAAAUUUGAAAUCUGGCCUUCGGGUCCGAGUUGUAAUUUGGAGAGGAUGCUUUUGGCGCGGCGCCGUCCGAGUUCCUUGGAACAGGACGCCAUAGAGGGUGAGAGCCCCGUACGGGCGGCCGCCUAGCCUUUGUAAAGCUCCUUCGACGAGUCGAGUAGUUUGGGAAUGCUGCUCAAAAUGGGAGGUAAAUUUCUUCUAAAGCUAAAUACCGGCCAGAGACCGAUAGCGCACAAGUAGAGUGAUCGAAAGAUGAAAAGCACUUUGAAAAGAGGGUUAAAAAGUACGUGAAAUUGUUGAAAGGGAAGCGCCUGUGACCAGACUUGCGACCCGUGGAUCAUCCGGUGUUCUUCACCGGUGCACUCCGCGGGCUGCAGGCCAGCAUCGGUUUUCCUAGGGGGAUAAAGGUCGCAGGAACGUAGCUCUUUCGGGAGUGUUAUAGCCUGUGGCGUCAUGCCUCUGGGGAGACCGAGGACCGCGCUUCGGCAAGGAUGCUGGCGUAAUGGUCACCGGCGACCCGUCUUGAAACACGGACCAAGGAGUCAAGCAUUGGGGCGAGUGUCUGGGUGCCAAACCCGCACGCGAAAUGAAAGUAAACGCAGGUGAGAGCUUCGGCGCAUCACCGACCGAUCCUGAUGUCUUCGGAUGGAUUUGAGUAAGAGCCUUACCGCUUGGACCCGAAAGAUGGUGAACUAUGCCUGUAUAGGGUGAAGCCAGAGGAAACUCUGGUGGAGGCUCGCAGCGGUUCUGACGUGCAAAUCGAUCGUCAAAUAUGGGCAUGGGGGGCGAAAGACUAAUCGAACCAUCUAGUAGCUGGUUACCGCC
This 895-nucleotide ribosomal RNA is filed under the name Ophiostoma boreale. RNAcentral describes it as "LSU rRNA". It matches the Rfam family "Eukaryotic large subunit ribosomal RNA", at positions 38 to 962 of the family's 3401-position model. Lineage: Eukaryota; Fungi; Ascomycota; Sordariomycetes; Ophiostomatales; Ophiostomataceae. The record is from RNAcentral.